This 1690-nucleotide long non-coding RNA is filed under the name Pan troglodytes (chimpanzee). Its description in RNAcentral is "lincRNA". The record is from RNAcentral. Lineage: Eukaryota; Metazoa; Chordata; Mammalia; Primates; Hominidae.
AAAGAAUGAAACUUCCUUACUGUUCACUAACCUACAUCUCAAUUACCUCCCAACAUGUUUGCAGCAAGUACCCUGUCGAUGGUAGGCAAGAGGAAGGUGUGACCCACAAAGAUCAAGGAAUCUAAGCCGGCCAAGUUCUAAAGGCUGGAAAGUCCAAGACCAAGACACCAGCAGAUUCAGUGUCUGGUGAGAGCCCACUCUCUGAUUCACAGAAGGCUUCUUACUGUGUUGAAAAGACAUGACUCAACCCACCCAUCACUUAGCAGCCGUCUGGGUUAUCAGAUUGACUGUCAUAGUGGCACAGUGCUUGUGUUCAAGCAACCCUUAUUUUACUUCCCGAUGGCCCCAAAGUGCAAGAGUAGCGACGCUGGUGAUUCCGACAUGCCAGAAAGAGGCUGCAAAGUGCUUCCUGUAAGCGAAAAGCUGAAAGUUCUCAAUGUAAUAAGGAAAGAAAAAGAAAUCAUAUGCUGAGGUUGCUAAGAUCUAUGGUACUCAGGGAGUUUUGAAAUCUUCCAAGAUGCCAUCGAGGAACUGAAAAGUGCUGUCCAGCUGCAGUGAGGGCUUUUUAAAGGCAGUUCCAUGUCUACACCCCACUGAGUUCAGACUGUCCAAUGAACCACUGACAUUGUUACACCUGCGUAUUGUGGACAACUUGAGAAAACACUUGUCUGCAGGAAGAUGAAAUUAAAAUCAAGUGUGAUCCUACCACCGAAAGAUAAGUGUUACUGAUAUUUUUUGUUAAUAACAUUCCAGUUUUUUAUGUAGUUUUGGGCUAGCUUAUUAUUUUCAUGUGAUUUCAAACUUGGAGAAAGUUUCCAAGAUGAGUCCAAGGAGCUCUCAUAUGCUCCUCACCCAGAUCCACUAACUGGCCACAUUUUGUCCCAUUUGCUUUAUUAUUCCUUCUACCCCUCUCUCUCUAAAGUAUUAUUAUAUGUUAAAUAUAUCUUAAUAUAAUUAUAGUUAUGUUAAAUAUAUCUUAAUAUAGUUACAAAUAAUUAUGUUAAAUAUAUCUUAAUAUAAUUAUGUUAAAUGAUGUUAUGAAUAUUAAAAAUUAUAAUUUAAAUAAUAUUCUAAUAUAGGCAGACAUUUAGUUUCUGAACCAUUUGGGACCAUGCUGAAAACAUCAUUUUCCUUUACACCAUUUUCCUUCAGUGCCAGAGGGGACCAGAGCAGUGAGAGGUUGUGGGGGGAUCCUGGGCCAGGAGCAUCCCCAUUUCCUGGAAUAAGAUAGUUCUCUUAAAUAACUACAGUACCAACAUAGAAAUCAGGAAAUUUAGCAUUGACACUAUUAACUAAUGCACAGCCCAUAAACAAAUCAUAUCAAUUGUUCCAAUAAUUUGUGUUUGUUUGUUUGUUUUGUUUUUUUAGACGGAGUUUCACUCUUGCUGCCCAGGCUGGAGUGCAAUGACUCAAUCUCAGCUCACUGCAACUUCCACCUCCCAGAGUGUCUCCCAGGCUAGAGUGAAGAUUUCAGCUCACUGCAGCCUGGACCUCCUGGGCUCAAGCGAACCUUCUGGCCUCAGGCCCCCUGAGUAGCUGGGACUACAGACGUAUGCCACCAUGCCCUGCUAAUUUUUUGUAUAGAUAGGGUUUCACCAUGUUACUCAGGCUGUAGCAUCAUUUUAAUAGCUGUAUAAUUUCCAUGAUGCACACUGUGAUUACUAAUUAUAACUCCUAUUGUUUUGUCAAA